This 789-nucleotide long non-coding RNA is filed under the name Chinchilla lanigera (long-tailed chinchilla). Its description in RNAcentral is "lncRNA (ENSCLAG00000028075.1)". The record is from RNAcentral. Lineage: Eukaryota; Metazoa; Chordata; Mammalia; Rodentia; Chinchillidae.
CUGGGAUGACAGGCAUUCACCACCACACCUUGCGUGUAACUCUGGCUCUUGACUUCCAGGGUCUUUGAGCAGGGCCUUUCCUAUGGACCACAGCGGAUGGAGGACAGUGGCCCCGUGACCACCACUUGUGUUUCCAGCACGGGCUGCUGUGUUGACAGUUUCUUAUUCCUCUCAGCAGCUGUCAGUGACAUUGCUGAUCCCCGAGGGACAGGUGAGGAUGCAGGACUCCGGGUGGCUGAGCGAGACUUCCAAGCUGACAUUUACCCAGCGCUGACUGGCUGCGAGGCUGUCCCAGUGCCCUCCCACGACACCUCCUAGCUGGCGUCACCCUUGUUGGGGCAGCGCCCCUCGGGUUCCCCGACAGUCUACAGAAGCAAGAGGUAGCCCACGGGGAUGGCCGCAGAGGUGACCGCAUGCAGAGGGCAGAACCGCUGCCCUGGCGGUGCAGAGCUGUGGGUGCAGGGACAGGGGAGCCCCGGGGGUGGGGACCCCGCUGAGGCUUCCCUCGCUCGGUGACCUUUGGUCCUGCAGAUGGCUUGGCAGCAGCUGUGUGACACCGGGAGACCUUUUCUUGUGCGCUCAGAACUCCCAUUUACAAAUUCCUUGGUCACAAGACAGCGCUGCGGAGGUCCAGCCACACUUGUGGUGACAGCAGGUGACAGGUGCCCCAUCCAAGCUCUCCGGAAUCCCCGGGAAGCCGGGCGGCCUGCCGUGGCCAUGGGAGGAGGCUUUUUGUUGCCUGUACCUGCACGACAUCAAGCAGAGCUUGAGGAAGGGAGUCGAAUCUAA